Asparagus officinalis (garden asparagus) is the source of this 266-nucleotide long non-coding RNA. RefSeq lists it as uncharacterized. Lineage: Eukaryota; Viridiplantae; Streptophyta; Magnoliopsida; Asparagales; Asparagaceae. The transcript has 4 exons. The record is from RefSeq and is a predicted model, not a curated record.
AGAAAGACUCGACAAAGCUAAAAUUGAGAGCCUAACCAAAUUUUGUUCUCAGAAGAUUCACAAGAGAUAUAAUGUUAUAGUAACAACCAACAGCACUAUUAACAGGGAAGAGUUGUUAUAUGUGCUUCGUGGUGGCCGCCUUGACGACAAGGUGGAAGAAGCAGUUUUGGACACGAUUAGCCAGGAGGCAUACGGCAAAGGAUAUGGAGUGGUAUCGGUGUUCUUUCUUCACUCACUCUAUGGCUUGGAGGUGAACAAUUACGAGC